AUUGAACGCUGGCGGCAUGCCUUACACAUGCAAGUCGAACGGCAGCGCGGGGCAACCUGGCGGCGAGCGGCGAACGGGUGAGUAAUAUAUCGGAACGUACCCUGGAGUGGGGGAUAACGUAGCGAAAGUUACGCUAAUACCGCAUACGAUCUAAGGAUGAAAGUGGGGGAUCGCAAGACCUCAUGCUCCUGGAGCGGCCGAUAUCUGAUUAGCUAGUUGGUGGGGUAAAGGCCUACCAAGGCAUCGAUCAGUAGCUGGUCUGAGAGGACGACCAGCCACACUGGAACUGAGACACGGUCCAGACUCCUACGGGAGGCAGCAGUGGGGAAUUUUGGACAAUGGGCGCAAGCCUGAUCCAGCAAUGCCGCGUGAGUGAAGAAGGCCUUCGGGUUGUAAAGCUCUUUUGUCAGGGAAGAAACGGUGAGGGCUAAUAUCCCUUGCUAAUGACGGUACCUGAAGAAUAAGCACCGGCUAACUACGUGCCAGCCGCCGCCGUAA
RNAcentral lists this ribosomal RNA (498 nucleotides) under uncultured bacterium. Its description in RNAcentral is "partial 16S ribosomal RNA". It matches the Rfam family "Bacterial small subunit ribosomal RNA", at positions 30 to 523 of the family's 1533-position model. The record is from RNAcentral.